This 63-nucleotide microRNA precursor is filed under the name Ciona intestinalis (vase tunicate). RNAcentral's name for it is "miRNA (ENSCING00000020409.1)". Lineage: Eukaryota; Metazoa; Chordata; Ascidiacea; Phlebobranchia; Cionidae. The record is from RNAcentral.
AUGGUCCCGAUGUGCUUAAUCGGACCAGUUUGGCAUGGUCCCGAUGUGGUUCGAUUAAGCGGG